CACCGCCACCCGGUACAACAGUUGAAUUCUUUAAAGCUCUUCUGACUAUCAUGAUAGCAUCAUGCAAACUCCUUUCAGCUUCCUCGAUGAACUGAUCAGCCCCACCACGUAGAACUAUAGUUGCAGUCUGACCAGAAGGACAACCGCUAAAUAUGUUGAACCGUUCAUUUCCCACCUGUUUUUCCUCAAAAAUUUCACAAGUUCCGAGAACCUCAUCAACAAUAUUGUUGACAGAAGUUUGCACAG
This 246-nucleotide unclassified non-coding RNA is filed under the name Hevea brasiliensis (rubber tree). Lineage: Eukaryota; Viridiplantae; Streptophyta; Magnoliopsida; Malpighiales; Euphorbiaceae. The record is from RNAcentral.